Malaclemys terrapin pileata is the source of this 563-nucleotide long non-coding RNA. RefSeq lists it as uncharacterized. The transcript has 3 exons. The record is from RefSeq and is a predicted model, not a curated record. Lineage: Eukaryota; Metazoa; Chordata; Testudines; Emydidae.
AUCAUCACAACACAACUCAAAGAGCAGAGAUUAAGAGAGACCCCUCUUCAAAUCCUUUCUCCCAUCAGGCAGCAGAGAGAACUGAACCAAGGUCUCACACAUCCCAGUUGCUUUUCCCUUCCCAUUGGAUAUCUAGUGCCAGCUGCCCGAGUUCACCAUCAUCACUGCUUAGAGCCUCUCCAAGGAGACCUUAGAUCACCUCUGUGUGUGUAAUGCAACAGUUAAUCCAAGAUGGCUGACAGCAGAAAAGAUUCAGGCACAAGGUGCUACCAGUGACACCAGUGGUUGAACCUCUUCACAAUUUCUGAAAGUAAGUAAUUCAAAUUGACUCUUUUUUACUGUCUAAUAUUACCUGUGCUCCUGUCGAGUAGGUGGAUUCUAAUUCUGUGAAUGAUCCAGGAGCCAUGUUUAGAAAUGUAGGACGCCUGGGUUGAGGUGAAGCACACCACUUGCAUCCUGGGAGAGGAGAUGAGGGAUGGUUGGAGGCUCGAGCACUGGUUAGGAACACAUUACUCUCCUUAAUGUCUGGGAAGUGUUAUUUAUGCUCCUGUAAAAGAUGUUCA